UACAGAGGGUGCAAGCGUUGUUCGGAAUUAUUGGGCGUAAAGCGCGUGUAGGCGGCUUUGCAAGUCGGGUGUGAAAGCCCUCGGCUCAACCGAGGAAGUGCGCCCGAAACUGCAGAGCUUGAGUACCGGAGAGGAUGGCGGAAUUCCCCAAGUAGAGGUGAAAAUUCGUAGAUAUGGGGAGGAACACCGGUGGCGAAGGCGGCCAUCUGGACGGAUACUGACGCUGAGACGCGAAAGCGUGGGGAGCAAACAGG
This 254-nucleotide ribosomal RNA is filed under the name uncultured bacterium. RNAcentral describes it as "partial 16S ribosomal RNA". It matches the Rfam family "Bacterial small subunit ribosomal RNA", at positions 524 to 776 of the family's 1533-position model. The record is from RNAcentral.